GAGUUUGAUCCUGGCUCAGAUUGAACGCUGGCGGCAGGCCUAACACAUGCAAGUCGAGCGGAUGAGUGGAGCUUGCUCCAUGAUUCAGCGGCGGACGGGUGAGUAAUGCCUAGGAAUCUGCCUGGUAGUGGGGGACAACGUUUCGAAAGGAACGCUAAUACCGCAUACGUCCUACGGGAGAAAGCAGGGGACCUUCGGGCCUUGCGCUAUCAGAUGAGCCUAGGUCGGAUUAGCUAGUAGGUGGGGUAAUGGCCCACCUAGGCGACGAUCCGUAACUGGUCUGAGAGGAUGAUCAGUCACACUGGAACUGAGACACGGUCCAGACUCCUACGGGAGGCAGCAGUGGGGAAUAUUGGACAAUGGGCGAAAGCCUGAUCCAGCCAUGCCGCGUGUGUGAAGAAGGUCUUCGGAUUGUAAAGCACUUUAAGUUGGGAGGAAGGGCAGUAAGUUAAUACCUUGCUGUUUUGACGUUACCAACAGAAUAAGCACCGGCUAACUUCGUG
This 503-nucleotide ribosomal RNA is filed under the name uncultured Gammaproteobacteria bacterium. Its description in RNAcentral is "bacterial SSU rRNA". It matches the Rfam family "Bacterial small subunit ribosomal RNA", at positions 9 to 507 of the family's 1533-position model. Lineage: Bacteria; Pseudomonadati; Pseudomonadota; Gammaproteobacteria. The record is from RNAcentral.